This 415-nucleotide ribosomal RNA is filed under the name uncultured bacterium. RNAcentral's name for it is "bacterial SSU rRNA". It matches the Rfam family "Bacterial small subunit ribosomal RNA", at positions 8 to 425 of the family's 1533-position model. The record is from RNAcentral.
AGAGUUUGAUCCUGGCUCAGAUUGAACGCUGGCGGCAUGCUUUACACAUGCAAGUCGAACGGCAGCGGGGGCUUCGGCCUGCCGGCGAGUGGCGAACGGGUGAGUAAUGCACCGGAACGUGCCCAGUCAUGGGGGAUAACUACGCGAAAGCGUAGCUAAUACCGCAUACGCCCUGAGGGGGAAAGCGGGGGAUCGCAAGACCUCGCGUGAUUGGAGCGGCCGAUGUCGGAUUAGCUGGUUGGUGGGGUAAAGGCCUACCAAGGCGACGAUCCGUAGCGGGUCUGAGACGAUGAUCCGCCACACUGGGACUGAGACACGGCCCAGACUCCUACGGGAGGCAGCAGUGGGGAAUUUUGGACAAUGGGGGCAACCCUGAUCCAGCCAUGCCGCGUGAGUGAAGAAGGCCUUCGGGUUG